CUGAUUCCUGAUCGAGCGGUUUCGGGGUGAUGGAUAUCUGCAGCAUAGUCUUAGAGUUUGAUCCUGGCUCAGAUUGAACGCUGGCGGCAGGCUUAACACAUGCAAGUCGAGCGGGGAAAGGUAGCUUGCUACCUGACCUAGCGGCGGACGGGUGAGUAAUGCUUAGGAAUCUGCCUAUUAGUGGGGGACAACAUUCCGAAAGGAAUGCUAAUACCGCAUACGCCCUACGGGGGAAAGCAGGGGAUCUUCGGACCUUGCGCUAAUAGAUGAGCCUAAGUCAGAUUAGCUAGUUGGUGGGGUAAAGGCCUACCAAGGCGACGAUCUGUAGCGGGUCUGAGAGGAUGAUCCGCCACACUGGGACUGAGACACGGCCCAGACUCCUACGGGAGGCAGCAGUGGGGAAUAUUGGACAAUGGGCGAAAGCCUGAUCCAGCCAUGCCGCGUGUGUGAAGAAGGCCUUUUGGUUGUAAAGCACUUUAAGCGAGGAGGAGGCUACCGAGAUUAAUACUCUUGGAUAGUGGACGUUACUCGCAGAAUAAGCACCGGCUAACUCUGUGCCAGCAGCCGCGGUAAUACAGAGGGUGCGAGCGUUAAUCGGAUUUACUGGGCGUAAAGCGUGCGUAGGCGGCUUUUUAAGUCGGAUGUGAAAUCCCUGAGCUUAACUUAGGAAUUGCAUUCGAUACUGGGAAGCUAGAGUAUGGGAGAGGAUGGUAGAAUUCCAGGUGUAGCGGUGAAAUGCGUAGAGAUCUGGAGGAAUACCGAUGGCGAAGGCAGCCAUCUGGCCUAAUACUGACGCUGAGGUACGAAAGCAUGGGGAGCAAACAGGAUUAGAUACCCUGGUAGUCCAUGCCGUAAACGAUGUCUACUAGCCGUUGGGGCCUUUGAGGCUUUAGUGGC
This 897-nucleotide ribosomal RNA is filed under the name uncultured bacterium. RNAcentral describes it as "bacterial SSU rRNA". It matches the Rfam family "Bacterial small subunit ribosomal RNA", at positions 1 to 847 of the family's 1533-position model. The record is from RNAcentral.